CUGGGCUUUCCCAUUCCAGGCGGUGCAUUCAGGAGGAGGCCACAGAGUAGAGAACGGGGCCCUGGACUUGGAGUCAGAACAUCUG
This is a microRNA precursor of Cavia aperea (Brazilian guinea pig), 85 nucleotides long. The record is from Ensembl. NCBI's taxonomy places the organism in Eukaryota, Metazoa, Chordata, Mammalia, Rodentia, Caviidae.